This is a long non-coding RNA of Pezoporus occidentalis (night parrot), 744 nucleotides long. RefSeq lists it as uncharacterized. The record is from RefSeq and is a predicted model, not a curated record. NCBI's taxonomy places the organism in Eukaryota, Metazoa, Chordata, Aves, Psittaciformes, Psittacidae. The transcript has 3 exons.
UGGGGAGAACUAGAGAGGAGCAGGUACAGGGAGGAGGGACCUGGAGCACCACGAGAUCUGCUGGGCGAGGAAGUGCACCAGGAGGGGAGCCUGGAUCUUGAGGUUACCUCCCAGUGGUGCAAGCAUACUGAGAACGUCGUUGCAAAAGGCUCUGUGGAGACACUGGAGUCACCAAGGAGAAAAUAGAAGUGCUGCACACAAGUUCCCUUUUAAAUGAAGAACUGGGAGAAGGACUGCACCUCUGGAUGGAAACAGAGGUGCACGUGAAAACCCCUCAGUAAUGUUUUGAUGAUGAACCAUCCUCUUCAGUGAUUUCCCUGAAAACAGAGGUGCAACUUGAGGUGGCAGUCCAAAACCAGUAGUGUCAUACCAUGUCACAAAUUACUCUUAUCUUUCAAAGAAGGCAUGUGACAGUACUGUGCAUGCUGUCCGUGCAAGUGCAUCCUUGCUGGCACUUGUGUCCUAGUGAAACAGGUCUACUGACUUGUGAGCCAGUACACAGCCUGUCUAGCAGAUGGAGGAAGCACAUGUUGUCCACAUGGGUUGGUACAACCAUCUUUCAAAAUCACAUCCAUCUGGACUGCAAUACAAGUCCCCAGCCCUGGGAGGCAGACUUGGUCCUCGGUGUCAUUUUUCUUAACAGGAGGUGGGUGAUCUCCUGACUGAAAGGGUCCUUUACACAGAGAGCAAGACAAAGCUAAGGCCUCCCUGCCUUUUCCUUCUCCAAAUCACAGGAGAAAACAU